GGAUUUUUAAUCUAGAAUUUGUCUUCACUGUAAGAAAUCUAAACAGCUACACAAGGCUAGCAGUCUUCCGGUUGGACAGCCCAGCCUGGAACAAGAGUUUGCCUUCAAGAUCUGAAUGGGCCGUCAGUAGAGGUGGAGCCUUGGAAGAGUGAGUUUGUCCCCUCUCGUGCUCCUCUGCCGCGUGAAGCAAUAUUUGUCCCCACCUGACCCCGCCUUCUCCACCGUGAGGAUGCAGCAAGACCCUCGCCGGACACUGGGUAGAAGGGUCUUGAUCUUGGGCUCCCAGCCUCCAGAACUGUGAGGAAAUAAAUUUCUGAUCUUAAUAAAUGACACGUCAGGGGUAUUCUGUAACAGCACAAAAUGGACUAAAACGUGAAGAUACGCUGUUGUUCUUCUAGAAGCACUAUUUUAAACUUUCUUAUUUAGGACUGUAAACUAUCUCAAAUUAAUGCUUUGUUUAUUUUAGGUAGGGGUGAAGAUACAUUUUUUCCGAUAGUAAUUGCUCUAGCACUGUUUCCUGAAUUGCAGUGAGAUCUCUGAAAUAAAUCAAGUGCCCUUCUCUCUGUGGUUACUAUCUCAAUAGUCUACUGUCUUAUUGUUGUAGCUAUCUAAUCCUGUACCAAUACAAAUUUAUCUUUAGAAUGAGUAUUGAAAUAUCAUGAUGUAAAUUUUAAACUUUAUUCUUUAUCAAUAUUAUUUUGGCUGUUCUUAGUCCUGUGCAUUUCCACUGUAUUUCAAGACCCAAACUGGCUGAUUUGUUCAAGGAAAAUUGGAAGAAUUCACCUGUAUUUUCUUGACUCUACAAAUAUAUGGGUGAUUCAACCUCUUAAAUACCAAGUCUUCCAAUUCACAAGCAUGAUGUAUCUCUCCAUUUCUUUGAGUCUUUAUUAGUUUCUCUAAUUAAUGUUUUAUAAAUUUUAGUGGCAAGAAUUUAUAUUUUUUUUCAAGUUUGAGAUAUAAUUAAAAUAUCAUAAAUUUUUUUUCAUUGAAAGUAUUCACUGUUUUUUAGAAUAUUCAUAGUCAGGGACCCAUUCCCACAAUCCAAUUGUAAAACAUAUUCAUCAUGUAGGUAAGAAACCCCAUAUCCAUCAGCAGUCCUUCUCAGCUCGUGUUCCAUAUUCCCAAGCCUAAGCCAUCUACUCAUCUAUUUCCAUAGAACUGACAGUUUUGGUUAUUUGGUUAUUUCAUAUGGAUGGAUCCAUACAACAUUGAUGGGGGAGUUGUGAUUGGCUUUUUUCACCAAACAUAUUUUCUUUUUUUUAAACUUUUAUUUAAUAAAUAUAAUUUUUUAAAGAUUUAUUUAUUUAUUUGAAAGAGUUACACAGAGAGAGAAGCAGAGGCAGAGAGACAGAGAGAGAGAGAGGUCUUCCACUCCCUAUUUGGCCGCAACGGCCGGAGCUGCACUGAUCCAAAGCCAGGAGCCAGGAGCUUCCUCUGGGUCUCCCACAUGGGUGCAGGGGCCCAAGGACUUGGGCCAUCUUCUACUGCUUUCCCAGGCCAUAGCAGAGAGCUGGAUUGGAAGUGAAGCAGCUGGGACUCGAACCGGUACCCAUAUGGGAUGCCGGCACUGCAGGUGGCGGCUUUACCCGCUACACCACAGCGCCAGCCCCAGUAAAUAUAAAUUUUGAAAGUACAGCUUUUGGAUUCAUGGAACAUAUUUUCAAGAUUUAUCCAUGCUGUAGCAUGAACCAAUUCUUCAUUCCUUUUUGUUACUUAAUACUAUUCUGUUCUUUAAUACUAUUCUAUUGUAUGAAUAUACCACACUUGAAGUUGAUGGAGACUUGAGCUCUUUCCACUUUUUGGCUGUUAUGAGCAAUACUGCUAAGAGCAUUAUAAAAACUUGUGAAGACGGUUUCAAUUUUCUUGAGUAUAUACCUAUAACUAGAAUUGCUGAGUCAGCUUAACUUUUGGAAGACUGCUAAACGUUUCUACUGUGGCUGUAUCAUUUUACAAGCCACCAGCAAUGUGUGAGGGUUCCAGUUUUUUUCAUAUCUUCAACUAUAUUUGUUGUUUUUUAUUCUAGCCAAUCUAGUAAGGGUAAAAUUCUGUUGUGGCUUUGAUCCAAAUUUCCCUAAUGACCAAUUUCAUUACACAUUUUAUAUGUUUAAUAGACAUAUCUUGAAGUAAUUUCUGAGUAUUUUACCCAUUUUUUUAUUUAUUUAUUUAUUUUUUUUUGACAGGCAGAGUGGACAGUGAGAGAGAGAGACAGAGAGAAAGGUCUUCCUUUGCCGUUGGUUCACCCUCCAAUGGCCACCGCGGCCGGCGCACCGCGCUGAUCCAAUGGCGGGAGCCAGGAGCCAGGUGCUUUUUCCUGGUCUCCCAUGGGGUGCAGGGCCCAAGCACCUGGGCCGUCCUCCACUGCACUCCCGGGCCACAGCAGAGAGCUGGCCUGGAAGAGGGGCAACCGGGACAGAAUCCGGCGCCCCGACCGGGACUAGAACCCGGUGUGCCGGCGCCGCUAGGCGGAGGAUUAGCCCAGUGAGCCGCGGCGCCGGCCUAUUUUACCCAUUUUUAAUUCAGUUCUUUUAUUGUUGAGGUGUAAGAGUUCCUCAAUAUUUUAUAAUAUUUGCUUUAUGAAUAUUUUCUCCAGUUCUGAAUUCCCUUUUUUUUAAUUUACUUGAGAAUGGGGCUGGUGCUGAGGUGCAGUGGGUUAAGCUGCUGCUUGUGACACCAGCAUCCCCUGUCAGAGCGCCAGUUCAAGUCCCAGAUGCUCUGCUUUCGAUCCAGCUCCCUGCUCACACUGCUGGGAAGGCAGGGGAAGAUGGCAUGAAUACUCAGGCCCCUGCCACACUCAUGUGGGAGACCUGGAUGGAAUUUCUGGCUGUUGGCUUCAGGCUGGCCCAGCUCUGAAGGUUGCAGCCAUUUGGGGAGUGAACCGCAGAUGGAAGAUAGCUCCUCCAACUCCCCAUCACUCUGCCUUUCAAAUAAAUAAAAUCUUAAUUUGUUUGUGAGAGAGAACAAACUCUCCCAUUUGCUGGUUACUCACCAAAUGCCCACAAUGGCCAGGUAUAUUAUUUCAAUCCUGUUGGCAUUUGUUCUAUUAUCAAACAUAGGCUCAAUUUGGUAAUCAACAGUCUGUGUUCAUUUGAGAAGAAUAUAUAGUCUGUCAAAGAGGCUAUUAUGUCUUUCACAUAUUAGGUAAUUUCGUAUGCUUACAUACAACUGUGAGUUCAUGUGAGUCAUCUUAAAAUCACUUAUCUAUUAUAGUGGGUUUGUCUAUUUGUCCUUUUUAAUUUUGUUAGUCUUUGCUUUAUGUAUUAUAAAAUUAUGUUAUUAAAUGAGUAUACAUUAGGAUUGUUAAAUUUCCAUGUUGGAUUUAUAUUUUAUUGUCAUGUCCCUAUUUAUCCUAAUGACUAGUUCCUCGAAGUCUACUUUAUCAGUUACCAAAGUAGGUAUCCUAGCAUUUUUAGAGUUAGUAUUUGCAUGUUUUUUCUCCUAUCCUAUUUUUAAUCCUUCUCUGUCUUUUUAAGGUUCCUCUCUUGGAUUUUACCCCCUAAAAUCUGGUUUGACAGUAUUCAUAUUUUACUUCAAGUCUUUAGACAUUCAUACUUAAGAUACCUGCACAUAUAGUUGGUGUAGUUUAAUGUUUGUAAAAAUUGCCGGCCAGCAUUGCGGCUCACUUGGCUAAUCCUCUGCCUGCGGUGUCGGCACCCCGGGUUCUAGUCCUGGUUGGGGCGCCGGAUUCUGUCCUGGUUGCCCCUCUUCCAGUCCAGCUCUCUGCUGUGGCCCGGGAAUGUAGUGGAGGAUGGCCCAGGUCUUGGGCCCUGCACCUGCAUGGGAGACCGGGAGGAAGCACCUGGCUUCUGGCUUCGGAUCGGCGCAGUGCGCUGGCCGUAGUGGCCAUUUGGGGGGUGAACCAAUGGAAGGAAGACCUUUCUCUCUCUCUCUCUCUCUCUCACUGUCUAACUGUCAAAAAAAAAUUGCCACAAUAAUUUUUGCCUUUUCUACAUAUACUUCUCUGCGUGACUUUGCUGGUUCUCCAGCAAGAAGCAGCACUUAUUUCUCUGUCUCUUGAAUCUGGACUUGGCCAUACUACUUACCUUGCCAUUAGAAAAUCAGCAAAUGUGACACAGCAGUGACUUGAAAAAUUAAUAAGAUACUGGAAUUUGGCCUUCCCCCUUAUUUUGUAAUCAGUGUGAAUGAAAUUGGUGAGAACAAGCCUGCUCUGUCAUGCCAGAAUGGGGCAUUGAUAAAGAACCAAGAUAUAUUUUGGUAGCCAGCCUGCCUACCAUGAGAUCUGUGAGCACGUUUAUUCCAGACCACCCCUGAAACCGCCAGUUACAUGCUAUUUCUUGAGUGAGUCACCUGAGAUCAGAGACAGAACUGCCCAGCUGUCCAAGAAUGUUGGUGUAAUACAUGCUUUAAGCCACUACGUUUUGGAGUCAUUUCCUAUGUAGCAAAGGCUGAUAGUUUAAGUCUGCCAUACUGCUAUUUGUUUUCUAUCACUCUAUAUGGAAUUGAUUUCAGCCUUAUCCUAUUGUUGUUUUUAUGGUUAUACAUCUUUUUAGUGGCUACCAUAGAGAUUAUAAUAUAUAUCUUUAAAAUCUAUCUUACAUUUUAACCAUUUCCUGAACAAGUCCAGGUACUUAAAAAUGCUUAAUUUCAUUUACCCUCUUCUGACCUUGUGCUGUUAUUAUCAUAUAUUUUACCCCUAUAUAUGUUAUCGCCCCUGGUGACAAUUCAUGGUAAAUAUUUUAUACAAUGUUCAUUUAUAUUUUUGCACAGAUUUAUUUAUUUAUUUAUUUUUAAAGAUUUAUUUAUUUACUUGAAAGAGAGGGGAGAGACAGAGAGAGAGGUCUUCCAUCCGAUGGUUCACUCUCCACAUGGUCGCAACAGCUGGAGCUGUGCCAAUCCGAAGCCAGGAGCCAGGAGCUUCUUCUGGGUCUCCCACGUGGGUGCAGGGGCCCAAGCACUUGGACCAUCUUCUACUGCUUUCCCAGGCCAUAGCAGAGCUGGACAGGAAGUGGAACAGCUGGGUCUUGAACCAGCGCCCAUAUGGGAUGCCGGCGCUUCAGGCCAGGGCGUUAACCCACUGCGCCACAUGGCUGGCCCCGAUCCUUGUCAUUCUUUACAAAAGUUCACAUAUGAUUAUAAAGGUCUACUGAUUGUAUGUGGAGCAUAACUGGAGACUUUCUCAACAUCAUUUGUUAGAAACAUUGUAUUCUCAAGUCUUGGCUACAGAAUAUCCCAUUAAAAAGAACUAAAAGAUAAAUGGCUGAUUUCCAAGGCCAGGGAAUAAAUUAAAGAAAAAUCUGUACCAUCUUUUUGUUCUGAAAACUAUGGAAAUACUAAAAAUUUAUGAAACUAUUUUAAAAAGAGAUGAUAGCUAGAAGGAACUUCCAUGAGCCAAAUUUGGGAUAAUUUGAGUAUAAAAUAACUGUAUUGGAUAGCCAUUUAAUAAAAUAAUCCAUAUAUCCAUACUUAAUUACUGACUAAAUAAAUAAAUGGACAGAAAAGUUCCUUAAAUUUUAAAAGAAGAAAAAUUAGAAAAGUCACUAUUUUGUAGAUACCAAGUAAUAAUUGAUUCAGAAAGGUAUCAUCAAUGAAUGUCAAAAGUAGAAAAAGUAAUAAAAGAAUAAAAUAUUAUAUAGACUCUUAAUAGAGUCUAUGAGAAUCUUCUCACUAUUUAAAAAUUAAACACGUAUUAUUAAACCUGUAAAAUACCGUGUUAACCAAGAAUCAACAAUAACGUCACCAAUAAUGGGGCAAAUGAACAUUGGUUUGCUGCAUAAAUAACAUACUGAGAAAGACUCAUCAUGGCCGGCGCCGUGGCUCAAUAGUCUAAUCCUCCACCUAGCAGCGCCGGCACACCAGGUUCUAGUCCUGGUCAGGAUGCUGGAUUCUGUCCUGGUUGCCCCUCUUCCAGGCCAGCUCUCUGCUAUGGCCCGGGAGUGCAGUGGAGGAUGGUCCAAGUGCUUGGGCCCUGCACCCCAUGGGAGACCAGGAGAAGCACCUGGCUCCUGGCUUCGGAUCAGCGUGGUGCGCCGGCCGCGGCGGCCAUUGGAGGGUGACCCAACGGCAAAAGGAAGACCUUUCUCUCUGUCUCUCUCUCUCACUGUCCACUCUGCCU
Molecule: non-coding RNA, 6070 nt
Organism: Oryctolagus cuniculus (rabbit)
Lineage: Eukaryota; Metazoa; Chordata; Mammalia; Lagomorpha; Leporidae
Source: RefSeq, a predicted model, not a curated record